This 1139-nucleotide long non-coding RNA is filed under the name Sus scrofa (pig). RNAcentral's name for it is "lncRNA (ENSSSCG00000054676.1)". The record is from RNAcentral. Lineage: Eukaryota; Metazoa; Chordata; Mammalia; Artiodactyla; Suidae.
CCAUACCCAUGGCAUGCAGAAGUUCCUGAGCCAAGGAUCGAACCUGAGCCACAGCAGUGACAACACUGAGUCUUUAACUGCUAGGCCACCAGGGAACUCCUAUUUUCCAUUUAAAAAAUUUUUAUUGAAUUAUAGUCAAUUUACAUAAAAUACUUUUUUCGAUGUGUCACUCAAGUAUUAUUCCUUGCUUCUUAGUUGAAAAUGGGGUGCUAAGAUUGAGAAUUAUUUGAAUUUCAAGUCCUUACUUUGUAGGAUUUUCCCAACAGGGUCCUCUUUCUGAAGGUGCUAUCUCAGAGUAGUAGCAGUUGCUAAUAAAACCUGACAAGUCUCAGCGGUGUAUUGAAUGGAGGCAUGAAGAGUCAAAAUAAUGCAAAAGCUACAAUCUAGGUUAAAAGUUCCAGGAGUUCCUGCUGUGGUGCAGCCAGUUAAGAAUCCAGUGUGGUCUCUGCAGUGGCUCAGGUUGCUGCUAAGGCAUGAGUUUGAUCCCCUACCCGGUGCAGUGGGUUAAGGGUAUGGCAUUGCUGCAGCUGGGGCAUCAGUCGCACCCAUGGCUCGGAUUCCAUCCCUGGCUCGGGAACUUCCAUAUGCCUCCCAUGUGGCCAAAAAAAAAAAAAAAAAAAAGCCUUCUACAAGAACUUUUUACACUGGGAAAAAAUGAAGAUGCCAUAAAUCACAACUGUAACGCUGACAUUACUAAACUAGUAUAUAGUAUCUAAUAAAUGCUAUUCCUAUACAAUUUUGAAUUUAUAAUAUCACUAAGUCAACUUUUAUUAAAGAAAUAAUUUUUCAACUUAUUAUGAGACUAAAAAGGAAGAAGGAGCAUCACCUUAUAUAAGAUUUUUAUUUGAGUAUUCUAUAAAAUUAUAAUCACAUUUAAUAUUGUUGGGAAGAAAGUAUCACUCGAUGUCAUUUGGUAAUUUUCCUGAAUGUUUAUGAGCCAGGAGUAUUCUUUACAAGAAUAUGUAAAGCAUUGCUCCAGUUGUCUGUUUUACUCCUCUUUAAAAAUUCUACAUAUGUUUCUAAAUCAAAGCUUUAUGGAAUUUAUUUUAGUAUAAACAUACAGGUACUGAGGUUUUUUGGUUUUUGUUUUUCAUCCUGAAUUCUGAAAAUCCACUGAAUUAAAAUCAGAUAUUCAUCUU